This is a long non-coding RNA of Scophthalmus maximus (turbot), 1314 nucleotides long. RefSeq lists it as uncharacterized. Lineage: Eukaryota; Metazoa; Chordata; Actinopteri; Pleuronectiformes; Scophthalmidae. The transcript is spliced from 2 exons. The record is from RefSeq and is a predicted model, not a curated record.
CUAGGAUCUUGCGUUUCUCUCCGUCUCAGCCAAGCAUUCGCGCACCAGCCCUCUAGCAUGGAUUAUUCCUACAAAGAAAAGGCAAAGACACUUCAACGUUGAAUCACCCACAGCUGUGCCAAAUUUUAACAUGCACACAUCCAGGUUUACACCCACCUCUCUUCAGUCUCUCCAUCGCACUCUUGCUUCCAGCAUAUGUGGGCCUGAUCUCCUUCCCAAGCUCUUCGAUGAUGGCCAGCAGCUCUGCAUAUUUGUUCUGAGGCACUUGGCUACCAGUGGAGCCCUGAGGUUGGAGCAAACGGUGCAAGAUGAGCCAGGUUUGACACAUUUCAUCUCAUUCUUUUUUUAUUGGAAGUGAAAGACACUCUUUUGCGGAGAACAUUACAACAAGAAAAAGAAGAAGCAGCUUAUAUUGUUGUCCAAAAUUUAUAAGGAACAACUUAAAGCUGGAGUGCAUACAAUAUAUUCAUAUAAAUGAAAGCCAGUUGCAUAUAUAUAUGUGAAUAUGUUUGUUUUUAAAUGCACCUGUGAGAAUCCCAGGGAUGGAGGUCCGUAGUCACUCAGGAGAGGCCUGUAAGACUGCAACGUGGCCAGGUUCGCUGCUGAGGGAGACUGGAGGUUCCCAACUGUUGACAGAUCAAACAUUGACAGCACUUCCUCCCCCACCCCUGGGGAUGAAUAAACUCCCCCAUGGUGAGGGUUUUUCUCUGGAGGAUUUUGUCCUCCAUUAUCGAUGCUCCCCUGCUGCUUUGUUCACUUGUAAUACUCCGCCUCCGACGCCAGGUGUCCUCGAAGAGUCGUAAAAAAAUUCAGAGGCAGAUCGAUCAGCAGCUCCGACCGAGGAGCAUCAUGGAGGAAACGGAACAAGGCUGGCUUAAGAAGACAGAAGUGAUACAUUUUUGUCACCGUGUAACGGCAGCCGCCCGGCGGGACCGCAGCCCCGAACGACGGAUAAACCCAUUUUAGGAACCUCCGCCGUCUCGCCUCUCACCCCGGCCGCCUUUCUCCGCCGCCUGAUAUCACGGAUGGCGCUCUUUUACAUUAGUAAUAAUGGCGGAUAUGAAUUAGCCUAGCUCCCAGGAUCUGACCCUAUAUAUAUAACUGGACAAAAACUACAGACACUGUCUUUCUCCAGGUAUUCUCCGAGACCCCGAAUUUAACACACGAUUUAACCGACGGAUACUAUGAUUUUUCCCCACGUUUUCUCCUUACCCUGGUUCCCAGAAGUUCCCGGAAUUUGCUGAUGGACAUUGGGUUUAUAAGACAUUCCCAAAGACAUUGUAAAUUAAAGAAAUAAAAAUGACCCGAAAUUCA